GAUGAACGCUGGCGGCGUGCCUAAUACAUGCAAGUCGAGCGAACGGACGAGAAGCUUGCUUCUCUGAUGUUAGCGGCGGACGGGUGAGUAACACGUGGAUAACCUACCUAUAAGACUGGGAUAACUUCGGGAAACCGGAGCUAAUACCGGAUGAUAUUUUGAACCGCAUGGUUCAAAAGUGAAAGACGGUCUUGCUGUCACUUAUAGAUGGAUCCGCGCUGCAUUAGCUAGUUGGUAAGGUAACGGCUUACCAAGGCAACGAUGCAUAGCCGACCUGAGAGGGUGAUCGGCCACACUGGAACUGAGACACGGUCCAGACUCCUACGGGAGGCAGCAGUAGGGAAUCUUCCGCAAUGGGCGAAAGCCUGACGGAGCAACGCCGCGUGAGUGAUGAAGGUCUUCGGAUCGUAAAUCUCUGUUAUUAGGGAAGAACAUAUGUGUAAGUAACUGUGCACAUCUUGACGGUACCUAAUCAGAAAGCCACGGCUAACUACGUG
This 497-nucleotide ribosomal RNA is filed under the name uncultured bacterium. RNAcentral's name for it is "partial 16S ribosomal RNA". It matches the Rfam family "Bacterial small subunit ribosomal RNA", at positions 28 to 507 of the family's 1533-position model. The record is from RNAcentral.